Molecule: ribosomal RNA, 514 nt
Filed under: uncultured bacterium
Lineage: Bacteria
Description: partial 16S ribosomal RNA
Rfam family: Bacterial small subunit ribosomal RNA
Source: RNAcentral
GAUGAACGCUGGCGGCGUGCCUAAUACAUGCAAGUCGAGCGAACAGAUGAGAAGCUUGCUUCUCUGAUGUUAGCGGCGGACGGGUGAGUAACACGUGGGUAACCUACCUAUAAGACUGGGAUAACUCCGGGAAACCGGGGCUAAUACCGGAUAAUAUUUUGAACCGCAUGGUUCAAUAGUGAAAGACGGUUUCGGCUGUCCCUUAUCGAUGGACCCGCGCCGUAUUAGCUAGUUGGUAAGGUACCGGCUUACCAAGGCGACGAUACGUAGCCGACCUGAGAGGGUGAUCGGCCACACUGGAACUGAGACACGGUCCAGACUCCUACGGGAGGCAGCAGUAGGGAAUCUUCCGCAAUGGGCGAAAGCCUGACGGAGCAACGCCGCGUGAGUGUUGAAGGUCUUCGGAUCGUAAAACUCUGUUGUUAGGGAAGAACAAAUUUGUUAGCAACUGAACAAGUCUUGACGGUACCUAACCAGAAAGCCACGGCUAACUACGUGCCAGCCGCCGCAGUAA